Molecule: non-coding RNA, 28 nt
Filed under: Mus musculus (house mouse)
Lineage: Eukaryota; Metazoa; Chordata; Mammalia; Rodentia; Muridae
Source: RNAcentral
UGGUGAAAGAGCACAAGCAAGGUGUCAA